GAAAGAGCUUCUGCCCUGAGACUCAGAAAAAUAUUCUCCUGUGCUUCGGUUCAGUAUAGAUUUCUAGACCCUGAUCAUUGCUUAAGAGAUAUUCACUGAGGGUCCUACGUCUCUGCAAUUUGUGUAUGAAUAACAGAAUAAUUUCCCUCUUUUGUUUCGCCUUUCCUGUUCCUGAAUCUAAAUAAAGAUGGCUUUUUAGUAUUAAAAGUGGAAGAAAAUUACAGGUAAUUAUCUUUGACGGUAAAAACGCUGUAAUCAGCGGGCUACAUGAAAAAUUACUCUAAUUAUGGCUGCAUUUAAGAGAAUGGAAAAAAACCUUCUUGUGGAUAAAAACCUUAAAUUGUCCCCAAUGUCUGCUUCAAAUUGGAUGGCACUGCAGCUGGAGGCUUUGUUCAGAAUUGAUCCUGGGGAGCUACGAACCCAAAGUUUCACAGUAGGAAGGGGGAAAAAAGAAAAGAAAACAUUUUUCCUAAUGUAACAAUGCGAAUGCUAGAAAAUGACAAGACUGAUCGGUUUUAAACCAUUCUGAAGACUGACUGAGCGUGGAAGUUGCUCAACAAAAAAAGGAACGGGUAUAUUGUUGCUGAGACAAAGGAAAACCCACUCCCUUGGAGGAGCAUGACCUUUUCCUGUAUUGCUUCCCACUGCUGUUGUUGAGCUCCUUGGACCUUGGCUUCUGGACACCAUCAUCAAGAAGACUUUAUGGAUGGGCUAUCCACCCACUGAGAGAAGAGGAGCAUCAGCUACAGUUUCUGUCUAGAUUGCCUUCUUCAUUUUGAGUAAUGACUGUCAGCAGGGUCAGAUUAAAGACAAAACAACUGGACAAUUGCUUGGAGGACUAAACUAUAAGGGCACUAACAUGUCAGUAGUAUGCUAACACAUCCAUGGAAAAUAUAUUUACCAGCCCUUCUCUCAGGAUUCUGUGUGGGGUUGGAAGGAAUGGUUUGUUAAAUUCCUUAGGGGUAGAAAGUAGGGCAUAAUCAGAAUACAGAGGAAUAUGCUGUUUCACUUCAGGGUUUCUGUUUUUCUUACUAGGAUAUAUAAAACAGGAGCUCUAGCUAGAUUGUUUAUGACCACAGAGGGCAGGCUGAGCACUCCCAUGGUCUUCCUGCUUGGCUCUUGCCCAUACAGAGCUCAGCCUUUCCUCUAAUAAAGAUUGAACAAGUAGUGGUCUGAGGGAGACACCAAUUCAUUACCCUACAUGUCUCUUCUCUGCACUCUAGGGCUUUGAUAAUAAAGACACUGGCAGACUAUCUGUCUUCCAUUUCUAUAAUGUGAGCCCUUAGGGAGUCUUCAUUCACUUGGGGGUGAGGGUCAUUGCUCACAGAGUAGUUCAAGUCAAAUGGAACUUGAACUCUUUGCCUAUGGGCCUGGUGGUCAGACUCUGUGUUGAGUUCAUUGGAUUAUUGGAGACACGAGGUAGAGCUGAACGCUUCAAAAAUAUUUGGCUAAAGGAUGACAUUGCUGGUUAUUUGUAGAUAAAGCCAUGAUGGAACCUGCUUGGAAUCAUGAAAUAUGGAACUGGUGGUCAUGUUUAAAAAUACAACUAAUAGUUAAGUACCUACUGGACACUGUAGAGACUUAGGGACAAGACAGACAUGGUUCCUGCCCCCAUGGAGCUUACACUGUAGCUUUCCCUUAGGUAUGAAGAACAGUGGCUACAACUAACAAAUGGCCACAAAGAUAUCAUUGAGCCAGUGUUCCAAUCAUUAGGGUAAUUCCUAUUUCCUUAAUCAUGCCUAUUGACCAUGUUCUAUAAGCCUGCAUUCUAUAAAUGGCCUAUGAGCAUGGGCUGUUUCCCCCCAGCAAGUUGUACAAAGUUCUGUGGUACCAGAGAAAGGGCUUAAGGUUAGCAGGGCCUCUGGGGAAGGACAUAUGUAGUGACUUGGGUUAGGAAACAGGAAGGGAUAGGAUUGAAGAACAGCUGUUGCUUCUGUUCUAUAUAGGAAACUGCAGCGUGAAAAAUUCUGGGCUGGGAAUUUUGAGACCUGGGUUUUAGUUUGUGUUCUAAUACUAACAAGCUAUGUGACCGUGGGUAAGUCACUUCACAUUCCACUUGGAUGCCUCUUGAGUGACUCCAGGCCUCUCCAGCUCUAAAACAUUAAGAUCAGGCCCUACGCUACAGCUGGCCAGUGUGUAAUUCUCCUGUUUCUAUGCUGUUAGGUCAAAUAGAUCUUCAAUAGUUACUUGAUUGUUAUUACUUUUUUCUGAAGUGGAUGUUUUAUCAAUGUUUUAGGAUACAGUGAGUCUGCUUCUGCCCUUUGGAGUUAGGAAGGUUGUAGGAAUAUACACUGUAGAGCAUAUGGGAGCUUUAUCCCCUCCUUUUUACCCCCCUACCUUUCUCCCUCUCCUUCCCUUCCUCACAUUUCUAUUGAGCAUAUGUCAUUGCCGUGUACCAGGUGUGUGCUAGAUUUGGAGAUACAAGGUAAACCUGAGACUUUCCCAGACUCCAGGAGACAAAACCCUAAUUUCUGUCAUCUGCUGGCUUUCUCUUUGGAAAGAAUCAACGAUAUCCCAGGGGAAUGUGCCCAUGUCCCAGGGUAACCAACUACAGACAGAUGCCCCAUUCUACUCAAACAACUUUUAGAGUGCCUUGAGAUACACAUCAGAUAAUUAUGCAGGGCCGGGCAUGGUGCUGCACACUUGUAAUCACAGCACUUUGGGAGGCCGAGGCAGCAGAUUGCUUGAGCCCAGGAAUUCAAGCAUAGCCUAGGGAACAUGGCAAAACCCCAGCUCUACAAAAAAAAUACACAAAUUAGCUGCGUGUGGUGGCCCAUGACUGUAGUACAAGCUACUCAGGAGGCUGAGGUGGGAGGAUUGCUUGAGCCUGUGAGGUUGAGGCUGCAGUGAGCCGAGAUCAUGCCAUUGCACUCCAGCCUGGGUGACAUAGGGAGACCCUAUCUUGGAAAAAAAAAAAAAAGAUAAUCAUUCAGCCCUAGAGUCAUUGUGAAAAGAUCUAUCUUCAGAUAUAAGGAAGAAACAAUUUUUUAUUUCUUAGGAUAAAUCUGUAGAAGGACCUCCAGACAGUGAAGGCCACUGACUACUUUAUACUUUGUAAGCCAUCCCUUCCCUGGUAGGAAGGACUACUUUCCAGUCUUACAAAGUACCUCUCAGCAAAUAGACGUUUUCAUAUAUACUGUGAUUGAUACAUCCCUAUGGCUGGUGACCUCUUUAAAAAGGAAAGAAAAAAGCCUAAUCAAACAAAAAGAUGUUGCUAGUAAUUCUUACCCUAUUGUGAAUCCUAUAUAAGCAAAUUUGUAUCUUUGUUUUUUCCAACAUUAGCAGAUCUAUUUGAUAUAUAUCUCUGAGUGCAGAAAAUAUUUUAUGGAAAAAUCAAUAUAUGGAAUUUCAAAUUCAGAAUUGCUGAUACACACUAUUUGGUUUCAGAAUUUUAUCCUAGGAAAUAGUAUUAGGGAUUUCAAUUUCUGGCUUAAAUGGUAGAAUUAAUUACUCUUAACUCUUAAUUUUACUUCUGAGUUGAGGUCAAGGAACAGGCAGACACCUCCAGUUAACGUCUAUACGUCUCCAUGGCCAAGAGUUUUAAUUUUCUCGUCUUCAGUUUUGUAGAUGUACAUCAUUACUAAAUGCAUUGAUUAGUAUUUUAUUUCCUCUCCUUGUCCUUACUUUCCCUCUGGUAAAUAUGUUAUAAACAGUGUAAGGCUCCUAAGAUAGAGUGGCUGGUAGGACUUAGAAGAGAAACAAAGGGCAUUGAUAACUCACAUAAAUGGAAAAUUGGCUCUGGAAUAAUUGACAACAUAUUCAAGUAUUUUAGUGCAGUGUCACUCUCAUUAAGAAGAAGACAAUCAGUAAAUCUAUGUGACUCUAAACAUUCUAAUGAAAGAGGAAUAUUCUGUCAAUUAUCUCACAUUUCUAAAUAUCUAGAUAUUGGCCACUGUAAAGACAAAACAUACAGAUGAUGGACUUGUCUUUCCACCUCUCAUUUGCAUGGUUUGGAGCAUUGUACCUCCAGCCAUUGACUCUAAGGCAAUUUAUAUUUGCUUCCUCUUCCCUCUUGAGAGAAAACAAAAAUCUUAUUUUUCCAAGCAAUUAAAACUCUUCUGCUUCAGCUAGGAUGAAAGAAUUAGGAGUUCUGUCUCCUUGUAUCUAAUUGCAUGUUUCAUCUUUCUUGUUUUAAUGAUUGACAGAAAACUAAUAAACUGAGACAUCUUUGAAUCCAGGUUGAAUGUA
Molecule: antisense RNA, 4188 nt
Filed under: Pongo abelii (Sumatran orangutan)
Lineage: Eukaryota; Metazoa; Chordata; Mammalia; Primates; Hominidae
Rfam family: Embryonic ventral forebrain-2 long ncRNA (bases 1-101)
Source: RNAcentral